AGAGUUUGAUUCUGGCUCAGGAUGAACGCUGGCGGCACGCUUAACACAUGCAAGUCGAGCGGAGUGAUAUAUGGAAGAUUUCGGUUGGAAGUAUAGAACUUAGCGGCGGACGGGUGAGGAACGCGUGGGUAACCUGCCCUGUACAGGGGGAUAACACAGAGAAAUCUGUGCUAAAACCGCAUAAGCUUACGGGACCGCAUGGUCUUGUGAGAAAAAACUCCGGUGGUACAGGAUGGGCCCGCGUCUGAUUAGCUAGUUGGAGAGGUAAGAGCUCACCAAGGCGACGAUCAGUAGCCGGUCUGAGAGGAUGGACGGCCACAUUGGGACUGAGACACGGCCCAA
This 342-nucleotide ribosomal RNA is filed under the name uncultured bacterium. Its description in RNAcentral is "bacterial SSU rRNA". It matches the Rfam family "Bacterial small subunit ribosomal RNA", at positions 8 to 334 of the family's 1533-position model. The record is from RNAcentral.